Molecule: transfer RNA, 74 nt
Filed under: Flavobacteriales bacterium
Lineage: Bacteria; Pseudomonadati; Bacteroidota; Flavobacteriia; Flavobacteriales
Also listed under: 1 other name
Description: tRNA-Ala
Rfam family: tRNA
About the family: Transfer RNA (tRNA) molecules are approximately 80 nucleotides in length. Their secondary structure includes four short double-helical elements and three loops (D, anti-codon, and T loops).
Source: RNAcentral
GGGGAAUUAGCUCAGUUGGCUAGAGCGCUACACUGGCAGUGUAGAGGUCAGCGGUUCGAAUCCGCUAUUCUCCA